Molecule: ribosomal RNA, 410 nt
Filed under: uncultured microorganism
Description: bacterial SSU rRNA
Rfam family: Bacterial small subunit ribosomal RNA
Source: RNAcentral
CAGCCGCCGCGGUAAUACGUAGGGUGCGAGCGUUAAUCGGAUUUACUGGGCGUAAAGCGUGCGCAGGCGGCCCGUUAAGACAGGUGUGAAAUCCCUGGGCUCAACCUAGGAAUUGCGCUUGUGACUGGCGGGCUCGAGUACGGUAGAGGGGGGUGGAAUUCCUGGUGUAGCAGUGAAAUGCGUAGAGAUCAGGAGGAACACCGAUGGCGAAGGCAGCCCCCUGGGCCUGUACUGACGCUCAUGCACGAAAGCGUGGGGAGCAAACAGGAUUAGAUUCCCUGGUAGUCCACGCCCUAAACGAUGGGUACUAGCCGUUUGGUGCGCGAUAGCGCUGAGUGGCGAAGCUAACGCGUGAAGUACCCCGCCUGGGGAGUACGGCCGCAAGGUUGAAACUUAAAGGAAUUGGCGGG